This 447-nucleotide ribosomal RNA is filed under the name uncultured bacterium. RNAcentral's name for it is "bacterial SSU rRNA". It matches the Rfam family "Bacterial small subunit ribosomal RNA", at positions 331 to 794 of the family's 1533-position model. The record is from RNAcentral.
CCAGACUCCUACGGGAGGCAGCAGUGGGGAAUAUUGCACAAUGGGGGGAACCCUGAUGCAGCGACGCCGCGUGAGUGAAGAAGUAUUUCGGUAUGUAAAGCUCUGUCAGCAGGGAAGAAGAAAGACGGUACCUGACCAAGAAGCCCCGGCUAACUACGUGCCAGCAGCCGCGGUAAUACGUAGGGGGCAAGCGUUAUCCGGAUUUACUGGGUGUAAAGGGAGCGUAGGCGGCAGUGCAAGUCUGGAGUGAAAGGCGGGGGCUCAACCCCCGGACUGCUCUGGAAACUGUACGGCUGGAGUGCAGGAGAGGUAAGUGGAAUUCCUAGUGUAGCGGUGAGAUGCGUAGAUAUUAGGAGGAACACCAGUGGCGAAGGCGGCUUACUGGACUGUAACUGACGUUGAGGCUCGAAAGCGUGGGGAGCAAACAGGAUUAGAUACCCGGGUAGG